RNAcentral lists this ribosomal RNA (465 nucleotides) under Vreelandella stevensii. RNAcentral's name for it is "partial 16S ribosomal RNA". It matches the Rfam family "Bacterial small subunit ribosomal RNA", at positions 338 to 795 of the family's 1533-position model. The record is from RNAcentral. Lineage: Bacteria; Pseudomonadati; Pseudomonadota; Gammaproteobacteria; Oceanospirillales; Halomonadaceae.
CCUACGGGUGGCAGCAGUGGGGAAUAUUGGACAAUGGGGGCAACCCUGAUCCAGCCAUGCCGCGUGUGUGAAGAAGGCCCUCGGGUUGUAAAGCACUUUCAGUGAGGAAGAACGCCUGGUGGUUAAUACCCAACAGGAAAGACAUCACUCACAGAAGAAGCACCGGCUAACUCCGUGCCAGCAGCCGCGGUAAUACGGAGGGUGCGAGCGUUAAUCGGAAUUACUGGGCGUAAAGCGCGCGUAGGUGGCUUGAUAAGCCGGUUGUGAAAGCCCCGGGCUCAACCUGGGAACGGCAUCCGGAACUGUCAAGCUAGAGUGCAGGAGAGGAAGGUAGAAUUCCCGGUGUAGCGGUGAAAUGCGUAGAGAUCGGGAGGAAUACCAGUGGCGAAGGCGGCCUUCUGGACUGACACUGACACUGAGGUGCGAAAGCGUGGGUAGCAAACAGGAUUAGAUACCCUAGUAGUC